RNAcentral lists this ribosomal RNA (253 nucleotides) under uncultured bacterium. RNAcentral describes it as "partial 16S ribosomal RNA". It matches the Rfam family "Bacterial small subunit ribosomal RNA", at positions 524 to 776 of the family's 1533-position model. The record is from RNAcentral.
UACGGAGGGUGCAAGCGUUGUCCGAAAUCACUGGGUGUAAAGGGUGUGCAGGCGGAGCAGUAAGUCAGUGGUGAAAGCCCCCGGCUCAACCGGGGAAUUGCCUCUGAUACUGCUGUUCUUGAGUCCCGGAGAGGCUGCCGGAAUUCGUGGUGUAGCGGUGAAAUGCGUAGAGAUUUGGAGGAAUACCAGUGGCGAAGGCGGCCCCCUGGCCCGAUAUUGACGCUGAGGUGCGAAAGCGUGGGGAGCAAACAGG